AGUGAACGCUGGCGGUAGGCCUAACACAUGCAAGUCGAACGGCAGCACAGGAGAGCUUGCUCUCUGGGUGGCGAGUGGCGGACGGGUGAGGAAUACAUCGGAAUCUACUCUGUCGUGGGGGAUAACGUAGGGAAACCUACGCUAAUACCGCAUACGACCUACGGGUGAAAGCAGGGGAUCUUCGGACCUUGCGCGAUUGAAUGAGCGGAUGUCGGAUUAGCUAGUUGGCGGGGGAAAGGCCCACCAAGGCGCCGAUCCGUAGCUGGUCUGAGAGGACGAUCAGCCACACUGGAACUGAGACACGGUCCAGACUCCUACGGGAGGCAGCAGUGGGGAAUAUUGGACAAUGGGCGCAAGCCUGAUCCAGCCAUACCGCGUGGGUGAAGAAGGCCUUCGGGUUGUAAAGCCCUUUUGUUGGGAAAGAAAUCCAGCUGGCUAAUACCCGGUUGGGAUGACGGUACCCAAAGAAUAAGCACCGGCUAACUUCGUGCCAGCCGCCGCCGUAA
This 506-nucleotide ribosomal RNA is filed under the name uncultured bacterium. Its description in RNAcentral is "partial 16S ribosomal RNA". It matches the Rfam family "Bacterial small subunit ribosomal RNA", at positions 29 to 523 of the family's 1533-position model. The record is from RNAcentral.